Molecule: long non-coding RNA, 2614 nt
Organism: Notolabrus celidotus (New Zealand spotty)
Lineage: Eukaryota; Metazoa; Chordata; Actinopteri; Labriformes; Labridae
Exons: 2
Source: RefSeq, a predicted model, not a curated record
CCCUGAAGUCUGAAAUGGCUUCCUCUCUGACACCCUCCCCACGCAGACAUGAAAGAUAACACGUUUGUAAAAACCCAUCAUCGCGCACCAGUUUGAUCACUGCUCUCAGCGAUCCAUUUGCUUUCAGAUAAACACCACAAACUGCUACAGAAGAUUUCACUGCUGGGGACCAAAAUUCACAGAUUAGAAGUGAAAGUGGAAGUUAACGGACUGUGUGGAAAUAGCACAACUUUACCAUUAACUCAAAACAAUGGACAGGGGCAAGCCAACACACCGCUAAGAAGUAUGCACAUGUCUACCAACAAACAGAUCGGUUCUGUGAUGUGUUUAAAUCUGCGAGUGUUAGUCCUCCCUGGAACUAUCAUGGCGCAAAGCUGAAAAGUAAAUCAUAUCCCUGGGAGAAUGAGGAAGAAUAACAGGCAGGGCACAGCCCACCGAUAUGUGAUGAGACCAGCUGGCCUGCGCUACCUCCCAGGCAGAACGCCUCUUCAACCCCGGUAUUCGGUAGUACACAGCCAUGGACAGCUGCGAAAAGGGAGGAUUAGCAACAAACCUCCUGAACAACCAAGUGAGAAACAGCAGAACCAAUUUGGUCCACUGUUGCAGGAUCCAGGAUCUCCAGCUAACCAAAAUGUCAAAUAUUAAAAGGCUAAGCUACUCUGAUUGUGGGUUACAUUGGCGUACAAAGGAUGUGCAGUAAAAACACCAUUCUGUUUUCCCAAGGAUAUGGUCUCUGACUUGACAGAAAAAUGAACAUUGUUGCCGAACACCAGACUGGGAAGAAUAUCAUACUGCAUGUUGGGUCAAUUUGAUAAACAACAACAGGUUAAAAAGAGUCAGCUCUCUGGAUGCUGACGUGUUUAUCAGCGGGCCCUGACCGACCGGUCAGAAAAGCAGCUCAGAGAUUCAGCAGGUUGUGAGCACUGCAUAAGUGGCUUUCAACUGCAUGUGAUGCUCAGUGCAGUUUAUUUACAGUUUCAGCAUUUUCUGGGAGCGUAGACAUCUUUUUUUUUAAAGCAGGCGGUCUGAGCUUAAACAAGUCUGGAGUGAAAUAGUUCACCUCCAACCUAUUUACUUCAUGCGUCACCAAACAGUUUCCUCUGCCAAGGACAAGAGACAACACACAUCAGCACAGAGGGAAAACAUAACACAGCUUGAUUGAAACCUUCAGGAAGUACAAUGUCUGCCUCUGCCCGAGGUGUUAUGAACAAGAGAGCCAAGAAGAGGGGUCUCCACCUGCCUCUAAACACCUGAACAACACCAGCACCGGUGAAACCCUCACCCGCUCAAACCCCAGCCAGGUCAGCCUCCUCCCCCCACUUGGAGUUCACCGACCAGAUGAAGGAGCUGGUCAACACUGGACUUAAAUGUAACCCCACCCUUCUUCAAUUUUCUCUCCUGUAAACCCCCCCCCCAUGAGGACCCCCUCCACCAGAGGCGUCUGGUGGACACAAUCGUCUAAGCCACAAUGCCCAGCCACGGCACCCAGCCCCUCCUGUCCCUCCCUAAUUCCAUAAGGCUCUUGACGAUGACGAUGAUCAGGGCUGCUUGUGUUCAGAAUUUACCAACCUCAAACUGAAAUGUUGUGGGUCCAGGCUGCAAGGAAACAUGACAGUCAUGAAUCGUUCCAGGAUAAGCCAUGGCCCUGCAUGUCAGUAGCUUUCUACAUUUCUGUCCCAAUUUUAGAAAAAGAAAAAGGACUGCUGAGAAACAGGAGGAACUUAAGUAAUUCUGUAAACGUAUUGUUAGUGUCAAUUCUUUGUGAGCCACAGCCUGUCCCCAAAUAAUGGGAAGAGACUCCAAAGUAGCUGGCCUUAUUAUCUUUUUUACAAACAUUUUUAAUCAGGGAUUUGAUCACUGAAUACAAACUUGAUGCUAUGUUCUUAACUGAACCUUGGUUGGAUGAUAAUACCAGUGCAGCUGUUCUUAUCGAGUCCACCCCUCCCAACUUGAUUUUUAUCAGCAAGGCAAGAGUGCACAGGAGAGGAGGUGGAGUUGCAGUUUUGUUUAACAAGUCUUUCAAAUGCAAACAAGUGACUUUUGUAAAUUUAGCAUCUUAUGAAUAUGUUACUCUUCAGCUGAGGUCCUCCUCGUGAGCCAUGUUCCCAAAUAUUUACAGGCCACGUAGGUACAGUGUGAACUUUUUUGACGACCAUCAUCAGUAUUGAUUUUGAUGAUGUAAUUAUUCUGGUGAUUUUAACAUCCAUGUGGACAUCCCUCAGGACAAAGGGAGUAAAGAACUGUGUUUUACUCUUGACAACUUUGGGCUGACUCAGCAUGUGACAGAGCCAAUGCACAAUAAGGGCCACACUGUGGACUUACUUAUCUCCAAUGGGGUUAACAUUUCCAAGGUUGUUGUGACUGAAGUUGCCUUUGCUAAGCAUUCCUGUGUUUUGUUUGAGAGCAAUAUCUCAGUGCACGCAAUGCAUUCAAAUAGAAACAAUUCAAUUAUUACUAUUCACACACAUUUGUUUAUACCUUACAUUUUAUUAUUAUCUUUAUGUAUCUAUCUUUAUUUUUACUCAUUUAAACGUAUUCUUGAUUUGUGCUUAUGUCUGUGUUGCUGCAACAACCGAAUUUUCACCCGGGAUCAAUAAAGUAUUAUCUUAUCUCA